ACGCAGGACAGUUGGGCAUUCAGGAUUGCAAAUCCGGUCAGGUUCGGAAGAAAGCAGCCGUAGCGAACACCGAGUGGGUCGACUGUCUCCUUUUUAGA
RNAcentral lists this signal recognition particle RNA (98 nucleotides) under Holosporaceae bacterium. RNAcentral describes it as "signal recognition particle sRNA small type". It matches the Rfam family "Bacterial small signal recognition particle RNA". Rfam says of the family: The signal recognition particle (SRP) is a universally conserved ribonucleoprotein involved in the co-translational targeting of proteins to membranes. Archaeal SRP consists of a 7S RNA and homologues of the eukaryotic SRP19 and SRP54 proteins. The record is from RNAcentral. Lineage: Bacteria; Pseudomonadati; Pseudomonadota; Alphaproteobacteria; Holosporales; Holosporaceae.